This 947-nucleotide long non-coding RNA is filed under the name Oryctolagus cuniculus (rabbit). Its description in RNAcentral is "lncRNA (ENSOCUG00000038428.1)". The record is from RNAcentral. Lineage: Eukaryota; Metazoa; Chordata; Mammalia; Lagomorpha; Leporidae.
ACAAAAUCCAUCAAUAAUCCUGUCUAGCUUGCUCUUGUUAAAACAAAAAUCCAGCUGAAUAGUAGGAUAGGCAAAUUCUUUCUAUUCUCCUGAUAAAACUAGAAGCUCAGAAGGGUGGAUCAUUGCUUCCUUGCUAUUCUCAUGAUAAAACUAGAAACUGGGGGAGUGGGAUCACCACUUCUGUCUUGCUAAUAGACAGGUUCUGGGGAGAAGCAAGCAUCUUGUCCACUCUUACAAGGACUCCCCAUUAGUCCUUACAUCAGCACCUCCUGCCUUAGAACCUCUUUAUAAACCCCAAUCACCCUCCUCCAACAGCAUGGUAGUCCUAAUGAAGGCAUCCUGCCUUCCCCUAAUCUUGUGAGUAAUAUUUGCAGAAGAGUUUUGGAAGCCUACUGAAAAAAAGGAGAUGAUUUGGAAGGGCAGGCUUUUGACCCAGCUGACAGAGAACCCUCCCCCAACUGAGGUAGAAAGCACCUCCCACCUGCACCCCGGACUCCCCUGACUAGUGGGACUUCCCUCAGAACAAAGCCUGAAAAUCUGCAUAAUUAUCAAUUGAAUAGACUCAUUGUUUUAUUUCAAGCCUGGUGCUCCAAUUACCCCUGUCCCUUUAAACAUCCUCUGUGCUGCGUGGUUUGGUAGAAAAAGGCUUCUUUGGAUUGGGAGGAUUUUCUUUCCCAAGACUGCAGCCGCCUUCUGGAAAUACACCCUUUCCUCUGGCCAGCACUCAGCUAUGGCGAAUUGAAGCGGCAGAGACACAAACAGAUACAGUGCUUUCAUGUGCUGAUUCCUCCAAGGCUCACAACUGAGUCUGGGCUAAAUCAAAACCAGGAGCUCUGGGGCAGGGAUUGUGCUGCAUCAGUUUAAGCUGCUGAUUGGGAGGCUCACAUCAAAUACCACGUAUGGGAAUGGGUAUGUAAGAUCCUCUCACAAGAAACAACACUGAAGAU